RNAcentral lists this ribosomal RNA (497 nucleotides) under uncultured bacterium. RNAcentral's name for it is "partial 16S ribosomal RNA". It matches the Rfam family "Bacterial small subunit ribosomal RNA", at positions 28 to 507 of the family's 1533-position model. The record is from RNAcentral.
GAUGAACGCUGGCGGCGUGCCUAAUACAUGCAAGUCGAGCGAACGGACGAGAAGCUUGCUUCUCUGAUGUUAGCGGCGGACGGGUGAGUAACACGUGGAUAACCUACCUAUAAGACUGGGAUAACUUCGGGAAACCGUAGCUAAUACCGGAUAAUAUUUUGAACCGCAUGGUUCAAAAGUAAAAGACGGUCUUGCGGUCACUUAUAGAUGGAUCCGCGCUGCAUUAGCUAGUUGGUAAGGUAACGGCUUACCAAGGCAACGAUGCAUAGCCGACCUGAGAGGGUGAUCGGCCACACUGGAACUGAGACACGGUCCAGAGGCCUACGGGAGGAAGCAGUAGGGAAUCUUCCGCAAUGGGCGAAAGCCUGACGGAGCAACGCCGCGUGAGUGAUGAAGGUCUUCGGAUCGUAAAACUGUGUUAUUAGGGAAGAACAUAUGUGUAAGGAACUGUGCCCAUCUUGACGGUACCUAAUCAGAAAGCCACGGCUAACUACGUG